CCUACGGGGGGCUGCAGUGGGGAAUAUUGGACAAUGGGGGCAACCCUGAUCCAGCCAUGCCGCGUGUGUGAAGAAGGCCCUCGGGUUGUAAAGCACUUUCAGUGAGGAAGAACACCUGGUGGUUAAUACCCAUCAGGAAAGACAUCACUCACAGAAGAAGCACCGGCUAACUCCGUGCCAGCAGCCGCGGUAAUACGGAGGGUGCGAGCGUUAAUCGGAAUUACUGGGCGUAAAGCGCGCGUAGGUGGCUUGAUAAGCCGGUUGUGAAAGCCCCGGGCUCAACCUGGGAACGGCAUCCGGAACUGUCAAGCUAGAGUGCAGGAGAGGAAGGUAGAAUUCCCGGUGUAGCGGUGAAAUGCGUAGAGAUCGGGAGGAAUACCAGUGGCGAAGGCGGCCUUCUGGACUGACACUGACACUGAGGUGCGAAAGCGUGGGUAGCAAACAGGAUUAGAUACCCGUGUAGUC
Molecule: ribosomal RNA, 465 nt
Filed under: Vreelandella stevensii
Lineage: Bacteria; Pseudomonadati; Pseudomonadota; Gammaproteobacteria; Oceanospirillales; Halomonadaceae
Description: partial 16S ribosomal RNA
Rfam family: Bacterial small subunit ribosomal RNA
Source: RNAcentral